RNAcentral lists this small RNA (1511 nucleotides) under Pan troglodytes (chimpanzee). Its description in RNAcentral is "retained intron". Lineage: Eukaryota; Metazoa; Chordata; Mammalia; Primates; Hominidae. The record is from RNAcentral.
AGAGGACAUUAACUGAUUUUUAUUGGAGGAUCCUGACACCCAGUGGUCGUUGCUACCUGUAACACAAAGCCCUUCAGAGCAGGCUACAUCAACAGUUACAUUUUGUGAAGCUCCUUCUAGAUUGCAGUGAGAACUGACAGCAAAGGUUUCAGUUUGGCAAGAAAUAGACACAUAAUCAGAACCAGGCUUAAGGUGAUUCACAACAGUAGUGAUGGAGUGUUUGGAGACCAGUGAUAGAAACACAACACUGGGAAUAUCUCCCUUUGAAGACAGAGAUUAUACUGCAGUCACUUCUUCGAUGACAUGGCCUUCACCAAACAUUCCUGUUUUAUUUUCUUGCCUUCUUCACAAUGUUAAUGUUGUCUCUAUUUUCUUUUCCCUUGCUUAGUCACUUGUGUUUAUUUUCUCUUUUUGUGGACUUUCAUUUGUAUACCUAUCUAUUAUGCCUUUUAAUACGUCUGCAGUGACUGGUAGGCUGAGUACUGGCAGCUGACAGGCUGGACUAAAAGGAAAGAAACAGAGUAUAGGCAAUCCAUUUGGGAUGAUUCUUCAGAUAAGUUAAAUUAGCCUCAAAGGAAAUUAAUGGUUUUACAGGUUGAAGUUGUUAACUGGAAAAAGGUUUCAAUCCUAUUAAAUCAAACCAGGAUUGAAGAUGAAAGACCUUUGACCCAUAAAUUAUUCGAGAGCUAGGAAUUUCAGUAUGCUUUUACAGUGUUCAUGCUUUUUAGUAUAUUUCAGAGUAGUGAACAAAACCAGAAGGUUUUUUUUGUUUAACAUAAAAGGAAUGGGGCUCCCAAAUUUGGUGCAUGCUCUUCCAAGUAUUAUGGAGCCAGGCUGUUCUUUUCUCUCCAGGCACUUGGCAGACAGAACCGCUGAGCUGGAGCGAGUAAAUAGAGUCAACCAAUGCUUACAGGAGGACUGGGAAAGGAGUGCUGCGAUGAAGAAGCAGCGAGACCUGGAGGACAAGGCUUUUGAACGGGCUUCAGACAAGCUGUUUCUCCUAGACCAGUGUGAGAAGUAUCGGCGCUGCAAGCAAUGCCAGAGGCGCACCUCCAACGUGGGCGAGAGCAACCUGUGGCCCCUGAACAAGUUCCUGCCUGGCUCCCGGUUGCUUGUGUAAAACUCAAAGUUUGGCUCUGCGUUUCCUGGGGAAAGUUUUUAUCUUUUACAUGUUUGGGGGUGAUUGUGAAACUGCGUAUUUUUACCUCAGAGAAAAAAAUCAUUGUUUAGGUUUGGUGCUUUCAUUAGAUUGCUUGUUAAGCCCUUAUUGAAUUCACUCCUGCUUUCCUCCCACCCCCAAUUAUUUCCUAUACUAGUUUCUGAUGGCAGUGAAGGUGUCUGAAUGGUCCUGAGGGCUAGAACCUGCUGCACAGGGGCUGGGAAUGGGAUCCAGCUUCAUUAUGGCUGCUGGGGUGCUGCUGACCCAGCCCUGCUGCUGCCCCAUGACUUUGUGUACAAAACUUUUUUCAUCUGUAAUGAAUAGUGGCAAUAAUAAAUAUUUUCUAAGCGCC